Molecule: long non-coding RNA, 3668 nt
Filed under: Panax ginseng (ginseng)
Lineage: Eukaryota; Viridiplantae; Streptophyta; Magnoliopsida; Apiales; Araliaceae
Description: long non-coding RNA (PGIN_LNC013577)
Source: RNAcentral
AACAUUACUAUGUAAGAGGUUCCGUGUUUUUCCCAAUCUCUCCCCUCAUUUGAUUUCUGUUUCACGACUGAGCAAAAUAGCCCUAACUCUCUUCUCUCCUGGAAACUUUCACAAAACAUGCCUUUCUCCAACUCUCUAGACGAAGUCAAGACCGAAUCUAAGUAGCCCAGAGUUCCUUCGAUAAACUUAGCUGCAGAAAGGAAAAGCCCUAUAAUCGGACCCCUCAAGCCCUCACUUCGAUUUUGCUGGUUCCACACUUCGAUUCGGUAAGGGUUUCGAUUCAAAUGACUUCUUUUCCUUUUGCGAUUUGAAAUUUAUAUCUAACAAUUAAACAAUUUAAUUUGGAGUUGGAAAAGGGGUUUUGUUAGAUCUCUGCUUCUAAACUUCUAGUCUAAGGGCUGUUUUCUUAUUUUUUUUUGUUCUUUUUUGUUUUUGUUUUUCUCUUUUCUCAGGCAGCCAUCUUAAAAUCUUAAACUUCACCGACCUGGGCUAUUGCAAAAAUUGCACUGUGUAUCAAUGUUUAAAUAUGAUUCUACUUAUUUGGGUAUUAAUUGUUUAUGGGACUGAGUUGUUAAUCAAUUGUAAUUGCUAAGCUAUUAUUUGUACUUUGUUUGAUGCAAGGACCUUUUGGUCGUAUUUUCAAAAUUUUCUAAUAUUAGUUUUGUAUAAUUGAACAUCUUUUUAAUUUGGUGGAUUCCAGUUUUUUUUAAUUACAAACAUAAAUGCUCCAAGUUCUAUGCAGUUGGUUGGAAAUACUGUAGGUACUUGUUUUCAGUACGUAAAUGCUCCAACUUGUUAUUGGACAGAUCCAAUGUUUGAAGUUUAGGAAGAUUGCCAAGUCCCGGAGGGAUUUGGCCCGUGAUAUUGUUGUUCUGCAAUAGCCUGCAUCCCACAUUAGAAAUUUAGGACAAGAAAUAAACUGGGUUGUGAAUUUUUCAAAAAACAAAACAAGUAUUGGUUUCUUACACUUAUCUAAGAUUUGUGAGGUUAGCUAACCACUCUAACAAAAAUCCUGAUAAACCUUGGCUUGGAGCUCCACUACAAUACACAGAAAUUGACAUUUUUUUAACAUUAAAAUAGUCAAAUAAAACAUAAAUAUAUACACGUGUGUUUAGAUAUUUGAAGGUUCAAGAAAAAAAAUAAAGAAAUUACUAACAAGGCAGUGACACGAUUAUCAGGGGAACAAGUGUCAAACCAAAUGAGGGGAGAGAUUGGGAAAAACACGGAGCCUCUUAAAUAGUAAUGCUCUUUAAGAAAUAUUGCUAUUUAAUAGUAAUGCUCUUGAACGGGACUCAUAUUAUAUAUAUUCCAUUGUUGUGAUUGCUACUUCCAAUAUUUGAAGUCUGCACCCUCUGUUCUCUCUAUGUAAGAUUGUUAAUACUUAUAUUCAAGUACAUAGAGAUUGGUUAUAAUUAAAAUUUAUUUAUUUUAGUCAAUUACUUAAUUCAAAUACUGUAUUCCAUAUUAAGGGGGUGUGUUUCCACCUAGCCGGGUCAAUGAAGCAACAACUACAAUUUGAUUAGCUUAUUUUAAAGCACUGUUGUUCUGAAAAUCGUGUUAGCUCAUCUGAGAUUUAUCGGGUGGCUAGUUGACAUGAUUUAGGGACCUCCAAAGGGAAUUGAGAUCUAUUGAUUUAAUUAAUGAGGCUUUAUUGUAUGUUCCAUGGGGUACUGAAUAUUAUUGGUUUCACUUUGCAUAUUAGGUUAGUAACUGAAUAUUGAUAGGAAUGUUGAUUGCAUAAUUGUUUCGGCUGCCUCAGAGAUAUCUGUCACCACUUAACCUUCGUUAUUUCUAUAUGCAAAUUGGGCCUCCUGGAGGCCAUUGUUAUUCAUAUCUCUUUGUGGCACUGGAUGCUUUUGCUGUCAUUCUUUACUAUUGCAUGCCAUUUUCUAGUAUUUUUUUGUUUCCAGAAUUGGGAAAUGUUCAUUUGAAUUUAUCUUUAUACUUGUUAUAAAUUCUUCAGCUGCUCUUGUAGCUUAGAUGGCAGCAAUACUGGCUUCUCACAGCUGCUAUUGUCGCAACUUGCUUCAUGGUUCAUGGCUGAAAAAACAACCGGUACAACAUAUAUAGAUAAAAACCGGUACCAGACCAGCUAACCGGUUCGGUCCGAUCCGGUACGGUAUGACCGAUGAACACGCCUAAUAUCACCUUCCUUAUAAUGUUUGCAAAUAGUUUGAGUUGAAAAAUGUGGUAUUGCAUACUACUUGUUUGAUGAAAUGUCUGUGAGAAGUCAUUUGCUUUGAUUUGUUCUUCAGUGGGCCUUCAUUAUUGAUUAUAUGCAAUUUGCAAGUGGUUUUGAUGUGGGUAUUUUUGAAACCUAAAGUUAUUACAAUCAACCAACAUGAAAAUAAAAUCUAGAUUAUGAGACAUGCUUUUAAUUAUUAUGAAAAUAAAAUCUAGAUCGUUAUGAUAUACCUUUGAUCUAUGACCUAAUGAACUAAUGUUGAAGAAGCGGAAGGUAGAUUUCAGAAUCCCAAUAAAUUCAUAAAUUAUUCUACUCCAAUCUACAAGCAGAAUCCCAAUAACUAUACUUGGGUUCCUUCAGAAGUAUAGUGUAAAUCAUCUUCUAGCUGUAUUAAUUCAUAAAAAGUUGAUAGUUAUUUGAAAUAAUUUCAUUACACAACUCAAAAUUACAAAUGUCAAAUAAUAACUAGUGUGGUCAAAUCAGGGUUACCAGGAAACUCUUAUCGCCUGUGUGCCUCGUACCAAGUUCUAUUGUUCCAAAUUAUGGUGCGAGAAAUAGAUGCCUUAUGCGCUCUACCAUAGGCAGCAUUCCUUGUACCCCAUUUCGUUCGUGUACCUAGUCGAUCUGCAUUCCUCGCAACCAUGGUCAAAUAUCUAGCAUUUGAAGUGGACUCUUCAAUUGGAACAAGCUAAGAGUCCCUUCGUAUAGAAAGCUUCAGUUAUAACAUUAAUAUGUUAACCCUCUAUUCUUACACUGAGCUCAUUAGACAAUUACCUCUUGCUGCUUAUAUCCAAGCACCAAAAUCAAUAGAUUGGAGAGUUAUAUGACCAAGAUAUAUAUAUCUUUCAAGUGUUGUUUACACAAACCAAACCGCCUUCUGUUUAAGCUGGGAUGGAUGCAAGUUAUAAAUCCCGUUUGCCAUCCUGGAAACUUUUGCCUUUCCAUUACAUGGAGAGUGUAAACACAUGGUGUUGCAGCCAUGCAACCCAUAACAAAACAGCAGCAAGUCCGUGACUGGCUCACCAUUCUUGUUAAAGAUGGUAAACACAAGCCACUAUAAGAUAUCCCAUACAGUAAUGCCUCGUCAUAAUUGGAAUGAUGAUGUUCUGAUUUUUCAUUUAAUAUUUCCUGUUCUAUAUCUUCAGUGGAUGGGAGUUUGCUCAGUUCUGGAUCAAAUCGUUUCUCUAUCAGGAUUUCGUGUAUUCUAUACUUUGCUGCCAGUGUGCGGAUGCAAGACUUCCUUACAAGAUCAGAAACUAUGUGUUUUACUUCACUAAAGUUGUCAAACUCACUAAACCAUCUAACCCACCAGGUAGCUAAACCCAAAAACCGGUCAAUAAUUUGAUCAGUAUCUUGUAAGAUGAGCACAUGACAUGUACGAGCGUGCCCUUUAGUAUUACUCAACCCAUAUCUUAAAAGACGCUUCUUUAUGACAUUUAUUGGAGCAAUAAUCUUUAUAUCAAAAACAGGUUCAGAAGAAGAG